Molecule: long non-coding RNA, 4155 nt
Filed under: Sus scrofa (pig)
Lineage: Eukaryota; Metazoa; Chordata; Mammalia; Artiodactyla; Suidae
Description: lncRNA (ENSSSCG00030059768.1)
Source: RNAcentral
UUUUUUUUUUUUACUUUGCAGACCAGAGUGCUCCCUUGACAUGAGUUUCACCUAACUGUUGUUCUUUCCUUCAAGUGUCAACCAAAAGAGCAAUGAUGAGCUUGGCGUGGGCCAUGGCUGAACCCGACUGGAGACCUCUGCGGCCCUCACACACAGCCACGGGGAGCUCACAGCCAUGAUUCAGUACGGCGCACAGCAGACAGAGAGGAGACACCUUACCUGUAUCAUCUACAGAUACCGCUUGAAAAAUCACACGUAAUUAGGCCCUUCUCACAGGGGAAGCUACUCGAAGCUCUAUCACCAGCUGGCAUACAUUUCCCUUGAGCAACGUCAGAUGAGAAAGUGAUUUCAUUUCCAUCACAGGGGAGAAGACAAACAGAAGACCCAGAGGCAGCGACUUGCUUGGAGGCCUCCAAGGUGAGAAAAUUGAGGAAUGAAAAGGAUACGUGACUUACCCAAGUAAGUGGGGUUCACAUCUAAACUGUCUGGUUUCAGAGCUCACAGUCCUGCCCACCCUGGAAAGACACAGACGUGCUGACAAGGAGCUUACAGAGUAAAAAGGGGUGGCAACCUUAACAAAAAAGACAAAUCAGUCAUUACAAACCAAGGCAGGACCAUGAUUGAAAAGAACAGGAAAAACAAGAGUUAAGAACAAUAAACUGUUUUAGCCAGGCGGCCAGAGAAGUCUUCUCCAGGUAGGUGAAUGUAUGAGGGAUGAAUACUAUCAGACCAAGAAUGGCUGAGACAGAGAAGACUGUGCUAUAGAGAACAGUAGGCAGAACACAGCUUGGUUAUGUUUGAAGGACUGAAAAAUGGCCACUGCUUCAGAAGGCCAUAAAGGGGAGUGUGUCUCUUCUUGCUCGCUGCCAUAGGACAGGGAUUGGUCAAUAGAUUUUUUUUUUGUAUGGCACCAAGGAGUAACUAUUUUAAGCUUUGUAGGCCAUGCAGCCUCCAUCACAAUUAUGCAACUCUGACGCUGCAGCGUGAAAGCUACUGCAUAUAAGUAAACAGGUGAGCAUGUAUGUUGCAAUAAAAGUGCACAUAGGGACACUGGAAUUUAGAUUUCAGUGUGACAGGAAACGGAUGAGCAUGUAUGUUCCAAUGAAACGGUAUAUACGGACAGCAGAAUUUAGACUUCAGUGAGACAGUUCCACAAAUAGCAAGUAUGUGUGCAAAAACACGUAAGAGUCACAUUUGGUGCAUUUCCAACACAUUAAUCCUUACAUAUAUCCAAGGCACCUUAACCUUAGAGCUCAGUGAAUUCUGUCAGCUGACGGAAUGUAAAAGCAAGAUACAAUUUUGAAUAAAAUUUAGUAACUGGGCUAUUGGUUUUUAAAUCACUCUUAAUCAGGAUUAUCCAGGAAAAAUAGUAUCAAUAGGAAAUGUAUGUAUAUGAAGAGAUUUGUUAGCAGAUAAAUGGCUCACACCAUUACGGAGGCUGGAAAGUUGCAUAAUUUUGCCCGCCAGCUGGCAACCCAGAAGAGGCAGUGGUGUAGAUCCUAGUCUGAGUCUGAAAGCCCAAGAAACAGGAGCACCCAGGGAAGGAGGGCCAAUGUCCCAGCUCAAGCAGCGAGUCUGGAAGGGCCAAACUCUUCCUUCCUCUGCCUUUAUGUUCUGUUCAGGCUCUCAGCAGAGUGGCUAAGCCCACCCACCCUGGGGAGGGCACAGUGCUUUGCCGAGUGCACUGGCUCAAAUGCUAAUUUCAUCUGGACACGCCUUCACAGACAUUUUCAGAAAUAACAUUUAACCAGUAUCUGGGCAACCCGUGAUCCAGUCAAGAUGACACACAAAAUUUUAACCAUUACAGUCUGAUAAAGAGGAACAAAUCAUCACCCAGGAAAAAGAAAUAUUGGCAUUGAUGAAGAUAAGACAAAGGAAUGUUCCAUCUUUACAAAGAGAACAACAACAAAAUAAUGAAUGCGUCAUCAUUCAAAGAGUAUUUCAGAUUGAUCACUGCCCCAGAAAACUAAAAUUGUCUAAAAUCUUAAGAGGUCGCCUAUAAAACACUUGACGGACACUUUCCUAAAGUUGACAUGACAAUCCUAAAAAUUUAUAUCACCUAACCAGUAAUGAGUUAUGAAGCCAAAAUAAAUUUUUCUAAAUUGACAAUAAAUUUUGAUCAAUCCAGAAGGUAGAAAGAUUAAAUCCUCUUUCGAAUAAUUUCUAUAGAAAAUGAUAAUCCAAGACCACUGUAUUAACAGGUAAUCCAAGAGUAUGUAGCCAAAAUAUACAGGAAACACACAUUAUAGGAAAAGUCAGGUAGUUAAUAAAAAAUAAACAUGUUAUUUGGGGGAUUUUGUGAUAUAUAUUUCAGCUUUAAAAAUUGCGUAAUUUGUGGAGUUCCUAUUGUGGCUCAGUGGGUUAAGAACCUGACUAGCAUCCAUGAGGAUGCGGGUUUGAUCCCUGGCCUAUAUCAGUGAUUUAAGGAUCUGGUGUUGCUGCAGACUGAGGCACAGGUUGCAGGUGUGGCUGUGGCUGGCAGCUGCAGCUCUGAUUCGACCUCUAGCCCAACUUCCAUCCGUUGCAAGUGUGGCCAUAAAAAGAAAAAAAAUCUUUUAACUUUUUUUUUUUGGUCUUUUUGUCUUUUCUAGGGCCACGCCCAUGGCAUAUGGAGGUUCCCAGGCUAGGAGUCAAAUUGGAGCUGUAGCUGCCGGCCUAUGCCACAGCAACGUGGGAUCUGAGCUGCGUCUGCGACCUACACCACAGCUUAUGCCAACGCCGGAUCCUUAACCCACUGAGCGAGGCCAGGGACCGAACCCACAACAUCAUGGUUCCUAGUCAGAUUUGUUAAUCACUGAUCCAUGACGGGAACUCCUAUAACUUAUUUUUUAAAAUGUCUACAGUUCUUUUAGCCAUGCCUACAGCAUGCGGAAGUUCCCAGGCCAGGGCUUGAACCCAUGCCAUAGCAGUGACAACACCAGAUUUUUAACCUGUUGUACCACAGGGAACUCAUCUACAUCCUUUUUCUUAAAGCUGCCGACCUGCCUCUGCCUUGGAAGUGCGCUUACGGCCUAUUUCCCCAGGACAGCUAUCCUUUCCUUCCUUUGGACCUGUUCUCAGGCCUUCAGACUUGGGUCCUGGACUGGAACUAACUGGGCUUUCCUGGACCUCCAGUUUGCAGAGGGACUUAACCUCUGAAACCAAAUUGUUUGCAUACACAGUUACUUUUAAAAAUAUACACAGGAGACGGGAUUGAGACAGUGGAGUAGAAGGAGUAAAGCUCGCCUUCUCUCAUGAAAACAACAAAAUUACAACCAACGGCUGAACAACCUUCAACAAAACAGACUGGAAACUAUCAAAAAAGAUAUCCUACUCCAAAAGACAAAUAAGAGGCCACAUUGAGAUGGUAAAAGGGGUGAUUAUGUGAUAUAAGCAACUCCAUACCCACUGGGGGGAUAGCCCACAGACUGGAAAGUUAACUGUAUCACAGGGGCUCACCCACGGGAGUAAGGGUUCUGCGCCCCAUGUCAGGUUCCCAUGCUUGGGGAUCUGGCAUUGGGAGAGGGAGCCCCGGGAGCAUUUGGCAUUGAAGGCCAGUGGGGCUUACACACAGGAGCUUCACAGAACUGGGGGAAAUGGAGACUCCACUCUUGAAAGGCGCACACAGGCUUUUGUGUGUUUGGGUCCAAGGACAAAGCAGAGACUCCAUAGGAAUCUAGGUCAGACUUGCCUGUGGUUCUUGGAGGAUCUCCUGGGAAAACAGUGGGUGACUGUGGCUCGUUGUUGGGCAAGGAUACUGGAGGCAAAUGUCUCAGAAAUAAUCAUCAGCAUGAAUUCCUCUAGAGGUGGCUGUUUUGCAAAAAUUUAGCACCAGGCCAGAGAACAAACCCAGUGGGAACACAGCCCCACCCAUCAGCAAACAGGCUACCUAAAGGCCCGCCCCCACCCAGGCACAUAGACUCCUCUAAUCACACCCACAGACAAAGCCCCACCCACCAGAAGGACAAGACUCAGCUCCACCCACUAGGGGGCAGGCACCAGUCCCUCCCAUCAGGAAGUAGGCAGCAUGCCCCCAUACCAACUUCAGCCACCCUCAAGGGGGGCAGACAUCAGAAGCAAGAGACUACAACCCUAUUACCACACUAAAAAUCUAUACAAAAUGAAAAAGGCAUAGAAUUAGGACUCAGAUAAAGGAACAAGGAAAAAAAAAAAAAA